ACUACCAGAUCCACUCUCCAACUCCAGCAAACACAAUUAAUUUAUUUACUUUGCAUGAUUCAAUGCAGGAGGUGGUUUCCAUUCAAUAUGUCUCAAUAUGUACAACAACAAUAAUCCAUCAACUAUGUAUAUAAACAUUAUUGAAUCACAUUACUAAGAAACUAAUAAAUAGGAAAAUAAUGCGGUGUAUAGGACGAUUUGUAAGAUUGCACUUUGUUCUAAUAUUUCUAAUUUUAUUACAUAUAUAUUAAUUUUUCAGAUGAUUCUUCAAUUGAAUUUAUACAAACAAAGAGAAAGAGAGAUCACUGAAUCACCGAUCACGU
Molecule: long non-coding RNA, 323 nt
Filed under: Gossypium barbadense (sea-island cotton)
Lineage: Eukaryota; Viridiplantae; Streptophyta; Magnoliopsida; Malvales; Malvaceae
Description: long non-coding RNA (GBAR_LNC017177)
Source: RNAcentral